RNAcentral lists this ribosomal RNA (374 nucleotides) under uncultured bacterium. RNAcentral's name for it is "bacterial SSU rRNA". It matches the Rfam family "Bacterial small subunit ribosomal RNA", at positions 524 to 898 of the family's 1533-position model. The record is from RNAcentral.
UACGUAGGGAGCGAGCGUUGUCCGGAAUUACUGGGCGUAAAGGGUGCGUAGGCGGUAAGCUAAGUCAGGUGUGAAAUCCCCGGGCUCAACUCGGGGGGUGCAUUUGAAACUGGUUUACUUGAGUGCAGGAGAGGAAAGCGGAAUUCCUAGUGUAGCGGUGAAAUGCGUAGAUAUUAGGAAGAACACCAGUGGCGAAGGCGGCUUUCUGGACUGUAACUGACGCUGAGGCACGAAAGCGUGGGGAGCAAACAGGAUUAGAUACCCUGGUAGUCCACGCUGUAAACGAUGGAUACUAGGUGUGGGGGAGAUACAACCUCUGUGCCGGAGCAAACGCAAUAAGUAUCCCGCCUGGGGAGUACGGCCGCAAGGCUGAA